CGUGUAGCCGGGUGUGCAAGUCAGAUGUGAAAUCUGGAGGCUCAACCUCCAAACUGCAUUUGAAACUGCGCAUCUUGAGUAUCGGAGAGGUAAUCGGAAUUCCUUGUGUAGCGGUGAAAUGCGUAGAUAUAAGGAAGAACACCAGUGGCGAAGGCGGAUUACUGGACGACAACUGACGGUGAGGCGCGAAAGCGUGGGGAGCAAACA
This 207-nucleotide ribosomal RNA is filed under the name uncultured Oscillibacter sp. RNAcentral describes it as "partial 16S ribosomal RNA". It matches the Rfam family "Bacterial small subunit ribosomal RNA", at positions 568 to 774 of the family's 1533-position model. Lineage: Bacteria; Bacillati; Bacillota; Clostridia; Eubacteriales; Oscillospiraceae. The record is from RNAcentral.